Molecule: long non-coding RNA, 351 nt
Organism: Drosophila yakuba
Lineage: Eukaryota; Metazoa; Arthropoda; Insecta; Diptera; Drosophilidae
Exons: 2
Source: RefSeq, a predicted model, not a curated record
UUUAACAGAACGCGGCUGACUGAUUGCUAAAUUGAUUUUAAAUGAAAUGCAAAUACGGAAAAAAUCCACUCCCCGGCAAAAAAAAUUAAGGAAAUCACCCAAUAAGUCCCACUGAUGAUAAUGACAAUCUAUUUUAUCGCACUGAUUGCUGUCAAACAUCACUGAUAUGAAACAAGAGGUUUGGUUGGUAAAUCGAUGGGAGAAUGGAUAAGCCGUAAAAACAAAUUUAAUAACUACACUAAUCAAGACUGGAGCUUUGCCCUACAAAUUUGUUACAUAUUUUAAAUUCUAUAAGAUAAAAAUAAAUGUAUUAGGUCUGGGUGACUUGGACCUGCUGCUUGUAUCACCAAU